UUUAAAGAGAGUUUGAUCCUGGCUCAGGACGAACGCUGGCGGCGUGCCUAAUACAUGCAAGUCGAACGAACGGAGGAAGAGCUUGCUCUUCCAAAGUUAGUGGCGGACGGGUGAGUAACACGUGGGCAACCUGCCUGUAAGUUGGGGAUAACUCCGGGAAACCGGGGCUAAUACCGAAUGAUAAA
RNAcentral lists this ribosomal RNA (185 nucleotides) under Listeria monocytogenes. Its description in RNAcentral is "partial 16S ribosomal RNA". It matches the Rfam family "Bacterial small subunit ribosomal RNA", at positions 1 to 180 of the family's 1533-position model. The record is from RNAcentral. Lineage: Bacteria; Bacillati; Bacillota; Bacilli; Caryophanales; Listeriaceae. RNAcentral also lists the same sequence under 2 other names.